This is a non-coding RNA of Pelobates cultripes (western spadefoot toad), 1601 nucleotides long. The record is from the annotation of a GenBank genome assembly. Lineage: Eukaryota; Metazoa; Chordata; Amphibia; Anura; Pelobatidae.
GGCACUCCUGGAAGUCCAACAUCAAAUAGUUUGUCAAGUUGACGUUUCAGUCCCUAACCUCGGACUUUCAUCAGGACACACAUUGUGUUAGGGACUAAAAGGUCGACUUGACAAUAAACUAUUUGAUGUUGGACUUCCAGGAGUACCGGCAAUCGUUAGUUUUUCUGUAUUACAGUGUGGCUGGGCACCCGUUAUUAUUGGCCUGAGGUAGGAGGGCUAAAGUUUUAUUUAUAUAUAUAUAAUGUAUGUAUGUAUAUGUGUAUGUAUAUGUGUAUGUAUAUAUGUGUGUGUUUGUCACUAUCUAUUUUCUAAUCAUAUUGCACAUUUGCUGUAUAAGUCAUGUAAUGUACAUACAUACAACCAUAGUGUUGGUGCGUGGGUGUAUUUUCAACACGCAGGCUUGUGUAUUGGUUCCUUCCAGGUGCCUCUCUACUCCCUAACUUGUUUUGUGACACACUGGAAUAUUUGUUGGUUUUCUUGGUGUCUUGUUUGUUUCAUUGUUGUAACAAAUGCUCUCGACUUGAUAAAAAGUAGGAACUCCCGCAAGCUUGUCAUUACUAAUAUCUGUUAGUCCAAUUAAAAAUGGUAUUAAAAGAUACCUCAAUACUUAAUUAUACAGGAACCCACAGCUUGUAUCCGUGUUUUAGGUCACACAGCGGCAAGACUAUUGCCAGGUUUGGAUUUGUCAAUUAGUUUCUUGUGACUGAACUUUGUGAAUUGAAGCUGCCCGAAAAGCUUGAGCCUAAAUACUUCUUGAGACUUCGUUGGCUUAUUUAAAAUGAAACUAAAUAUCCUUCUGAGCACUUUCAAGUUUCCGGUGAGGCUCAUUUUUAUCUUUAUAAAUAAAAGCACAAAACCACAUUGUCUUAACUGUGGUUUGCUAAUGUCUUCUCUGCAAGAAACAAACUGAUACAUUUGGCAUUCUUCCCAUUACUACGACCAAGAUAACCUCUAUAGUCCUAUCGCAUCACAAUCAAUAUCAGAAAUGCUUAAAAACAAACGUGCAGAGAAGAGACCUUUCUAAUAGCUAAAAGCAAGCCAACGUGUGAGGGUUGUUUUGGGUUCUGCCCGGCAUCGAAUACAAAGUACAAAUGUUCCAGGAGUCCUUAUGUGUGAUGAUUGUGGUAUUUUAUUCCAUUCCUCCACUGUAUGUACCGCAGACAAAUAGGUGGAAAACAAAUGUCAUUGUUCCGCUUGAAAGGAAAGUCCCAUCAAAACAAUUUGUUUGAGCAUUAAAGUUGAAGAUGUGGAAUUUCUAUUUUAAAGGAUUACUCUAAGUGACCACGCAAGUGAUUUGAAGUGGUUAUGGUGCCUGGAGUCUGUAUGUUUUUUUUUUUUUGCAUUGUCCCAAUGAAUUUGCACACUCAGCCUAUAAAUGACUACUGUAUUGGUUUCUGGAUGCUUCGGCUCUGCAUAAUGAAUAUUCCUCUAUUGGUGACUAAACAGAAAAACUAUUUUGUGCAAGUUUGGUAAAAGUGAGACCAAAAUUGUCAAAUUCCAGAACUAGCUUUAAUACGCUUUCCAAAUAAUCCAAUACUGUUAAAUCAUUUGUAUCACUUAAAGAGUUUAUUAAACCGAAGAAAAAAUGUUGGAGAUUUUCU